UAAGUGGGGGCUGUAAUUUGAAGCGUCUAAUUGUUACUUAGAAGGUUAUAUUUAUAUUCACUUAG
This 65-nucleotide transfer RNA is filed under the name Antarctonemertes valida. RNAcentral's name for it is "tRNA-Asn". Lineage: Eukaryota; Metazoa; Nemertea; Enopla; Monostilifera; Oerstediidae. The record is from RNAcentral.